RNAcentral lists this ribosomal RNA (806 nucleotides) under uncultured Clostridia bacterium. RNAcentral describes it as "bacterial SSU rRNA". It matches the Rfam family "Bacterial small subunit ribosomal RNA", at positions 68 to 896 of the family's 1533-position model. The record is from RNAcentral. Lineage: Bacteria; Bacillati; Bacillota; Clostridia.
GAUUUCUUCGGAAUGAACUUAAGUGGAUUAGUGGCGAACGGGUGAGUAACACGUGAGUAACCUGCCUUACACAAGGGGAUAGCCUCUGGAAACGGAGAAUAAUACCCUAUAAAGUCUAAUCAGCCCAUGCUGGAAAGACCAAAGAUUUAUCGGUGUAAGAUGGACUUGCGUCUGAUUAGCUAGUUGGUGAGAUAAAAGCUCACCAAGGCGACGAUCAGUAGCCGGCUUGAGAGAGUGUACGGCCACAUUGGGACUGAGACACGGCCCAAACUCCUACGGGAGGCAGCAGUGGGGAAUUUUGCACAAUGGGGGAAACCCUGAUGCAGCGACGCCGCGUGAUUUAGAAGGCCUUCGGGUUGUAAAAAUCUUUUUUACGGGAUGAAAAUGACAGUACCGUAAGAAUAAGGUCCGGCUAAAUACGUGCCAGCAGCCGCGGUAAUACGUAUGGACCGAGCGUUGUCCGGAAUCAUUGGGCGUAAAGGGUACGUAGGCGGCCUAGUAAGUUAGAAGUUAAAGAAUAUAGCUCAACUAUAUAAAGCUUUUAAAACUACUAGGCUUGAGAGAUGGAAGGGAAAGUGGAAUUCCUAGUGUAGCGGUGAAAUGCGCAGAUAUUAGGAAGAAUACCGGUGGCGAAGGCGACUUUCUGGUCAUCAUCUGACGCUGAGGUACGAAAGCGUGGGUAGCAAACAGGAUUAGAUACCCUGGUAGUCCACGCUGUAAACGAUGAGUGUUAGGUUCUUGGAAUAAUCUGGGAGCCGCAGCUAACGCAUUAAACACUCCGCCUGGGGAGUACGCACGCAAGUGUG